Molecule: long non-coding RNA, 358 nt
Organism: Onychostoma macrolepis
Lineage: Eukaryota; Metazoa; Chordata; Actinopteri; Cypriniformes; Cyprinidae
Exons: 3
Source: RefSeq, a predicted model, not a curated record
AAUUAGACUUAAUAUUCUGUGUUUCUCGGAUGAAGCGACUCUCAGGAUGAUUACUUUUGACGAGUUUGUCAGCCAACUCUUCACAGGUGUGCAUCCUCUCCAGUCCCACCUCCAGCUGCUUUAAGAAUACCUCAAAUCUCCCACACAGUUGCUGUCAUGAAACAAGAGAUCUUGUUGCCUAGCAUUGAGGUUCAGGAAGGCUUUGGAUGGACUUAUUCGUACCCCAUUCUUUGAGAAGACACUGUUCAUCCAUUUUGUGUAGGUCUUCUUCUGCACUGUCAUCCGCUGUUCCUGAAGCUCUCGGAAUCGGCCAUCCGACUCCUCUCCAUCUCCCUGUUUAAACAUCUUCUGACUGUGU